UACGAUGGGGGCUAGCGUUGUUCGGAAUUACUGGGCGUAAAGGGCGCGUAGGCGGUGUGUCAAGUCAGGCGUGAAAGCCCCGGGCUCAACCUGGGAACCGCGCUUGAGACUGGCACGCUAGAGUUCGGGAGAGGAUGGUGGAAUUCCCAGUGUAGAGGUGAAAUUCGUAGAUAUUGGGAAGAACACCGAUGGCGAAGGCAGCCAUCUGGACCGACACUGACGCUGAGGCGCGAAAGCGUGGGGAGCAAACAGG
RNAcentral lists this ribosomal RNA (253 nucleotides) under uncultured bacterium. RNAcentral describes it as "partial 16S ribosomal RNA". It matches the Rfam family "Bacterial small subunit ribosomal RNA", at positions 524 to 776 of the family's 1533-position model. The record is from RNAcentral.